GGGCGAAUGGUUUAGUGGUAUAAUACUCCCUUAGCACUAGGCGACUGCAGGACGUUGAGUCUUAGACAGUCAGUGCCGAGACUGGGAGUGGUCCAGGGUUCGAUUCCCUGUUCGUCCA
Claviceps aff. purpurea is the source of this 118-nucleotide non-coding RNA. NCBI's taxonomy places the organism in Eukaryota, Fungi, Ascomycota, Sordariomycetes, Hypocreales, Clavicipitaceae. The record is from the annotation of a GenBank genome assembly.